GCCNUGCCGCGUGNAGGAAGANUGCCCUAUGGGUUGUAAACUGCUUUUAUACNGGAAGAAACACUCGUACGUGUACGAGCUUGACGGUACUGUAAGAAUAAGGACCGGCUAACUCCGUGCCAGCAGCCGCGGUAAUACGGAGGGUCCGAGCGUUAUCCGGAAUCAUUGGGUUUAAAGGGUCCGCAGGCGGUCAAUUAAGUCAGAGGUGAAAUCCCAUAGCUUAACUAUGGAACUGCCUUUGAUACUGGUUGACUUGAGUCAUAUGGAAGUAGAUAGAAUGUGUAGUGUAGCGGUGAAAUGCAUAGAUAUUACACAGAAUACCGAUUGCGAAGGCAGUCUACUACGUAUGUACUGACGCUCAUGGACGAAAGCGUGGGGAGCGAACAGGAUUAGAUACCCUGGUAGUCCACUGCUGCCUCCCGUA
Molecule: ribosomal RNA, 424 nt
Filed under: Polaribacter sp. Asnod1B09
Lineage: Bacteria; Pseudomonadati; Bacteroidota; Flavobacteriia; Flavobacteriales; Flavobacteriaceae
Description: bacterial SSU rRNA
Rfam family: Bacterial small subunit ribosomal RNA
Source: RNAcentral